Long non-coding RNA from Armigeres subalbatus, 1636 nucleotides. RefSeq lists it as uncharacterized. NCBI's taxonomy places the organism in Eukaryota, Metazoa, Arthropoda, Insecta, Diptera, Culicidae. The transcript is spliced from 3 exons. The record is from RefSeq and is a predicted model, not a curated record.
UCCACCUGAUAAAUGCGACUACAUAUAAGGAAAUAUCGAAUAACAAUUGCAUGGUGGCCAUAAAAUCAAAAACAGUACGGAUAAGGAUAGGAUACGAUAGGACACUACAUAAGAUUAGUUUGGAAUCACUAGAAGAUAACAUCAAAUACAUAGAAAAAAUCACGCACUCAUUUAAAACCGUUGAACACUUAUAUGCCAUCCAGACUACGAGCUAUAUCACUUGAUAUAGAGAAGCUUGACAUCAAAGUACACAAAUCUAAUUUUCACUGUAAAUAAUGCAUAUGACGUCUCAUGUCAAGAUUGUCUAUACCAAGUAGCUAUAUCACAAGUCUUAGAGCAAACCCUACAGGAAAAGUUAACAAUAGCUAAAGAAACUAUUUAGUUUAAUCCCAAGUAGAACAAAAAGAGCACUGAUAAAUGUCCUCGGAACAGCAAUUAAAUUCAUUGCGGGUAAUCCCGAUAACGAAGAUCUUGAUAGCAUAAACGAAGGAAUAGGAAUAUUGAAGAAUCAGGAGAAUAAAUUCAAGCACCGGACAAGCGAUGGUACUUGUGAAGACCCCAGUACUAGAUGACAAGGACUUCGACCUCCUGGAGCUCCACACGUUGAAAGUCAACAAUUCGAGGAUAGAAACAUAAACCUGGUGGCAAAGCACGGCAAUCUGAUCUACGCCCAAACGACAAAAUGCGACAUUUGUGAAGGUACCAACCUGAUCGAGGACGAAUACAUCUAAAAUAUAUUAACGCAUCAAACACCAAAAUGCACACUCGUAAGCACAAUACAAGGAUUCCAAAGAGAUCACGGACGGCGUAAUCCUAAUUGACACUACGGAAAACAUCGAGGUAAACGACUCAUGCGGGGAUUCAAGAAUCAUUACCGAACCAACAAUAAUAGAAAUCGGCAAUUGCACAAUCAAAGCACGAAAUUUUCCAUUCUCUGGUAAAAUAGAUGUUAUAAGACAAGACAACUACUUGAUCCCAAUUUACAGUAAACCUCUUCAGAAGUCAAACUACACGUACAACGAGGAGCAAAAUGUUAUGCUGCGGAUUCAAAACCUGGAAGAAUUGAGCAUGAUCCAGCUUUCCUUUAACAGCACACAUAAAAGGAAAACUCACAAGAAGGAUGCCAAAAAGAACCACGUUGAGGCACUGAUGCUUAGAACAAAGAAGCUAGAAGAAGUAGAAGCAACCGAUGGUUCGAACACUCAAAUAACAAGAAAGGACCCCGGACAGAAGCGGCUGAAACUUAUCCCAGAACCAAGGUUCGAGCUCCUGAAACAUCAAACGAGGACGCUUGAUACUUGAGGGGGGAGGCGUUAGGAUCAGAGUUGCCCACGUGCCAUCCCAUCAGAACGAGCCAUCGACCGGCCCAUUAAUCGAUGCAACGUAAAAGUGAUGACCCAGGAAAUUAUCCAGCUGAGGUGGCAACGUGCGAAAAGGCACGCGAACGACAACGGAUAGGACGACAUCGAUGCAGACUUUGACCAGGACCGUUUUGCUGAGUUGAUAGAUUUAGUUAAUAAAAGGUUUAUCGGAAGAAAAAUUCAAUUAGUUUCGAGUGAGAAGUGAAUGAUACUUGUUGUAACUUAUAAUUAGUGGAAUAAAAUUAUUUUUUAUUGAACUCUGAUCCUUCAGAGCA